GGCCUCGUAGCUCAGCCGGUACAGCAUGCGCUGUACAAAAGCGUAGGUGACGUCCAUGCGCAGGUUCCAAUCCCACCGAGGCUA
RNAcentral lists this transfer RNA (84 nucleotides) under Echinostoma caproni. It matches the Rfam family "tRNA". Rfam says of the family: Transfer RNA (tRNA) molecules are approximately 80 nucleotides in length. Their secondary structure includes four short double-helical elements and three loops (D, anti-codon, and T loops). Further hydrogen bonds mediate the characteristic L-shaped molecular structure. tRNAs have two regions of fundamental functional importance: the anti-codon, which is responsible for specific mRNA codon recognition, and the 3' end, to which the tRNAs corresponding amino acid is attached (by aminoacyl-tRNA synthetases). tRNAs cope with the degeneracy of the genetic code in two manners: having more than one tRNA (with a specific anti-codon) for a particular amino acid; and 'wobble' base-pairing, i.e. permitting non-standard base-pairing at the 3rd anti-codon position. Lineage: Eukaryota; Metazoa; Platyhelminthes; Trematoda; Plagiorchiida; Echinostomatidae. The record is from Rfam by way of RNAcentral.